This 79-nucleotide transfer RNA is filed under the name Actinomycetota bacterium. RNAcentral's name for it is "Actinobacteria bacterium (soil metagenome) tRNA-Asp". It matches the Rfam family "tRNA". Rfam says of the family: Transfer RNA (tRNA) molecules are approximately 80 nucleotides in length. Their secondary structure includes four short double-helical elements and three loops (D, anti-codon, and T loops). The record is from RNAcentral. Lineage: Bacteria; Bacillati; Actinomycetota.
GGUCCCGUGGUGUAGUCAGGCUUAACACGCCGCCCUGUCAAGGCGGAGAUCGCCGGUUCAAAUCCGGUCGGGACCGCGA